This is a long non-coding RNA of Bombus pascuorum, 750 nucleotides long. RefSeq lists it as uncharacterized. The transcript is spliced from 2 exons. NCBI's taxonomy places the organism in Eukaryota, Metazoa, Arthropoda, Insecta, Hymenoptera, Apidae. The record is from RefSeq and is a predicted model, not a curated record.
UAAUGGUACAGGUGAUACGAUUUUUAAUUUCUCGGAAGAAUUCCACUUGAGUCGAUUUUCCACUGACAAUGCCCUUGAAGUAAACAAUAAAUAAGAUUACUGUGCUUCGCAGCUCGAUUUCAAACAUAAGGCGCCGCGCAGUCCGCGUUUCGUUAUCAUAAUCUACAAACUACGUUGCAUCGACUAAGUACCUCGUUUUGAAAUUAUGUACUAUUAAGCUUCUAACAAUUUGUCCUGAUAUUUUAACUCUACAUAUCGUUGCCAAUUUUAACGCAACUGCCAAAGGACUACACGAACCAAACGAAAGAUUGCAUUUCCACCAACAAAUUAGUUGGAUUCCAUGAUCAUUAUAAAUAAUUUGUACACAAAUGAUACAAAGACGAUGGUACGUUAUAAAUUUUACGUCUGACUUUGGAACGUACAAGAAAAUAGGCCAAAGAUCGUUUUUAAACGUCUAUAUAAUCAGCGUAAAUGUUGCACGUGGAAGACGCUCGCGGGAACGUAAGUGAAGCCACGAGCGCGUGAAGAAUUAUCAGAAUUCUAACUAAUUUGUAUAUCUACCUAUUAAGUGGAAGCGGAUUUUUCCGGCGUAUACAUGGACGAACGAGUGUAAAUAUGACUUGGUAUUGAAACUGAGGAUCAGAGAAUUUUUGCAGAAAAAUGAUCGAUUUUUCAACUGUUGUAAAUUAUUAUUAAUGAACGUUAUUGCGAUAAUUAACACUCGUGAACAAUGAAUUUUAUCUUUCCUUG